This 253-nucleotide ribosomal RNA is filed under the name uncultured bacterium. RNAcentral describes it as "partial 16S ribosomal RNA". It matches the Rfam family "Bacterial small subunit ribosomal RNA", at positions 524 to 776 of the family's 1533-position model. The record is from RNAcentral.
UACGUAGGUGGCAAGCGUUGUCCGGAUUUACUGGGCGUAAAGAGCGCGCAGGCGGUCGUUCAAGUCGCGUGUGAAAGCCCCCGGCUCAACUGGGGAGGGUCACGCGAUACUGAUCGACUGGAAGGCAGGAGAGGGUAGUGGAAUUCCCGGUGUAGUGGUGAAAUGCGUAGAUAUCGGGAGGGACACCAGUGGCGAAGGCGACUACCUGGCCUGUUCUUGACGCUGAGGCGCGAAAGCUAGGGGAGCAAACGGG